Molecule: long non-coding RNA, 2074 nt
Filed under: Citrus x clementina
Lineage: Eukaryota; Viridiplantae; Streptophyta; Magnoliopsida; Sapindales; Rutaceae
Description: Citrus clementina (C. clementina) long non-coding RNA (CCLE_LNC002676)
Source: RNAcentral
UAUAUAAUAAGGACAUAAUUUUUCAAAGUCUUAUAAAAAAAUAAUAAAGACAUAAUUUUUCAAAGUAUCGUCAUAUUACCUGAUUGAGCAAAGGACUUCAAUUUUUGGCGGCAAAGAAACAACUAUUCCAUGUGAAAAUUUACUCUUAUGAUAGCAGACCAAGACCCAAAAUUUAUCUGCAAACAAUAAAAAUAAUAAUCAUUUCAUAUUAUACAGCCAUAAAAAACACUAAAGGAACAAAAUAACCCAACAAUCUAAGCCUACCAAUUUCAACAAAAAAAAACUUCAUGCAAAAUAAAACCUUAGGUGUCCUUUGUUUGGUCUGCCGAAAUUUGAAGCCUUGUCCCCUCCUAUUUCAAUAAUUGCAGCAAACUUAUCUUCAAUAAUGUGUAGUUACAAGCUAAUUUAAAAGGUUUGGAGUUACAUUGUUAGAGAUUUUGGAUCUGAAUGUGCAACAAAAAGCAAAAAAUUGACUUUGUAGUUGAGCGAGACAAACCAAGUGAGGGAAAGUAAUUUCAGGGGAUUAGAAGAGGAAGACAAAGAUGUGACUUUUGUACUUAAGUUUUGUCCUUUAACAUAUCUUUUUGUAAAAUAAUAAUAUUAAUAGGAAGACAAAGCUGUUGCUUUUGCACUUAAGUUUUGUUCUUUAACAUAUCUUUUUAUAAAUAAUAAUAUUAAAUUUUCUCUUUCUGAGACUAAAAGUGGCGGCACCAAAUGUCCACAAUUGAUUGUGAAAUAAGGUAAAACUAUAUGGCAAGUAUUACACUGAUUCUCCCGCCAAUUAAAUAUUUGCUAAUUUUAUUUAUAAAAAAAAACUUAUUUUGCUAGCUUACUAAUAAUGAGGAUUUCUUACAAAAUAAUAGGACAAAAAUCCUUUUUAAUUAUUUUUUUUCCUAAUCACUCUUAGUUUAAUGAAUGGUCAAUAUUGAUUUUAAAUUUUCAUGUUGAUAAUUAAACUAAUUUUUUCAUUAGAUUUAAAAAAAUUAGGAAAAAAAUCCUAAUUUUAAAUUAAUAUAACUUUAUACGAUAAUCUUUUAAUAUGAAAAUUGAUUAUAAUAUUCUCUCAAAAAAAAUUAUUUCAUGUAAGAUAACAUAUAUAGGACCAUUUAUUCUAUGCAAAUUACAAUAGUAUUUGUGGACCAUUAAAUUAACUCUUUUGGAAUAAUUGAGAUAUAUUGUUUAGUAUACGAAAUCUAUAAUUAAAUACAACCAACCCACAAAUUCAAAGUCAACAAGGCUGCUAACCAUGCAUGUGUAUAAAGCAAAAGCACAUGGGGGUGUGUGUACAUAUAUAUCAUGAGCAAGCAAAAUAAUGAAAAAAACAUGGAGUUUGUGUUUUAAAGAAAUAUAUUAGUGAAUAAAAAUAAAGAAGUAAAAAAUUAAUUGUCUUUUGUUCUAUAAAAUAAUAAUGAAUUAUUCAUGAUUAUAAAUACAAAUAGUAUUUGAAUAUUCUACAGCGGAAUCAUCAACUUAUCAUAAAUGCUGACUUCAACAUUAUUUAUCAUAUGCUUGUUUUCUAUGACAAUAGAAUUAUUGAUUUUUGAUCAAAUGAAAUUCCACUACAAAAACAAAAUUCGUUGCAAAAUAUGAACUUUCUGAGACGAAAUUGAUCUGGCCACAAAAACAAUCUCUUUGGUUAUAUUCCUUUUUGCAAUCAGAAAAAUAUUUGUCGCACAUUUAUCACUUUUGUCGACCAAAUAUAUUGGCCACAAAAUCUCAUCACAGAAAGUGUAGUUACUACAGCUAAAUCAUUGUGUUGUCGCAAAUUAUACGACAUUCUGCGACCAAUUAGUAUUUAUCUCAGAUAACAUUAUAUGUGGCCAAGACAUGGUCGCAAUAGAUGAAAUAAUUGUCGCAAAAACUUUACACAUUUGAGUUUACCCAUCCUUUAUAAUCCACGACCAUUAAUCGAUAUGGUUGUUGAAAAUAGGAUUUAGUGGAAAAAAUCAUGUGGUCGCAAAAAGAUUGGUCGCAAAUGACGGCAUUUCUACUAGUGUAAUUUGUUAUACAAAGUCUAGGAGCUUGUUUGUUAAAUGUCUUAAAUUUGAAAAGUUGUUAAUUUUAGAUUUUUUUU